RNAcentral lists this ribosomal RNA (750 nucleotides) under uncultured organism. RNAcentral describes it as "bacterial SSU rRNA". It matches the Rfam family "Bacterial small subunit ribosomal RNA", at positions 688 to 1452 of the family's 1533-position model. The record is from RNAcentral.
GCAUAGAUAUUACACAGUACACCAAUUGUGAAGGCAGCUUACUAAGCUGAACUUGACGCUGAGGCACGAAAGCGUGGGGAGCGAACAGGAUUAGAUACCCUGGUAGUCCACGCUGUAAACUAUGAUCACUCGCUGUUGGCGAUACACUGUCAGCGGCUAAGCGAAAGCAUUAAGUGAUCCACCUGGGGAGUACGUCCGCAAGGAUGAAACUCAAAGGAAUUGACGGGGGCCCGCACAAGCGGAGGAACAUGUGGUUUAAUUCGAUGAUACGCGAGGAACCUUACCUGGGCUUAAAUGCAGAACGACCAGUCGGGAAACUGACCUUCCUUCGGGCGAACUGCAAGGUGCUGCAUGGUUGUCGUCAGCUCGUGCCGUGAGGUGUCGGGUUAAGUCCCAUAACGAGCGCAACCCCUAUUGUUAGUUACCAGCGAGUAAUGUCGGGGACUCUAACGAAACUGCCGGUGUAAACCGUGAGGAAGGUGGGGAUGACGUCAAAUCAGCACGGCCCUUAUGUCCAGGGCUACACACGUGUUACAAUGGCCAGUACAAAGGGCAGCUACCACGCGAGUGGAUGCUAAUCUCUAAAGCUGGUCUCAGUUCGGAUUGAAGUCUGCAACUCGACUUCAUGAAGGUGGAUUCGCUAGUAAUCGCGCAUCAGCAAUGGUGCGGUGAAUACGUUCCCGGGCCUUGUACACACCGCCCAUCAAGCCAUGGGAGUCGGGGGUACCUGAAGUCCGUAACCGAAAGGAG